This 780-nucleotide long non-coding RNA is filed under the name Malus domestica (apple). RNAcentral describes it as "long non-coding RNA (MDOM_LNC011768)". Lineage: Eukaryota; Viridiplantae; Streptophyta; Magnoliopsida; Rosales; Rosaceae. The record is from RNAcentral.
UUUUUUUUUAGUUUCGGUUUUUUCAGUUUUUUUUUUAAAUGAUGUAAAUGGAAGGAACCUACCUAUCAACCUCCCAGUUCUCAUAUAUCACAGAAACAUAAUGUACAUUGCCAUGAUUCAUAAUUAUAAAACUUUAAAAUUUACAAAAUCAUGAAAUAAUUCAACAAAUUAAUUGAUCGAUGCAGAUCGAAACAAAAAAAAAGAAAAUGGGUUCGUCUAAAUGCCAUAAUCGGACUCCAAUAUCGCAUGCCCAGUGCCCACAUUCAAAUUCAUAGUCAAGUCCACAAUAGAUCUAGAAAAUUCCAGAACAUAUUCAGAGAAAAAUACUAACUUUUUCACCUUAAAUUACAUAAAUUUCAAAUGGCUAACCAUAAAAUUAAAAACCAAUGAACUGACAAAUAAAUAAAACCCACAAUCUUUGCUGCAACGAUAUCACCAUAAUCGUCACAAGCUCUUACAAUUCCUCUUUUCGUCAGGUCUCGUCGGGUCUCCAAAGGGGUGAGGGAAAAUCAUGGUUUGGAAGAAGGAAUCCACGAGGAGGACAUGAGAAGACUGGAAAGAGAGUGAUUUGGAGAGAGAGAGAGAAUGAGGAAGCAAAGGCAGAGAGGAAGCAGCGGACAGAACCGAGAUAAAUGUUUGAGAUCUGAAAUGAAAUAAGAGUGAAACGACUAGGGUUUGUAAAGUUAAGAAAUUUUAUAAAGCAUUAAACAUAAGAAACCUAUAAAUAAUUUACUGGUACAAUUAUAAUAAUAUAAAGCCUAUAGUCAAGUUGGCUUGCAG